Molecule: non-coding RNA, 75 nt
Organism: Paramuricea clavata
Lineage: Eukaryota; Metazoa; Cnidaria; Anthozoa; Malacalcyonacea; Plexauridae
Source: the annotation of a GenBank genome assembly
UUCUGCAGCGUCACGAAGUUCGCUUUACCAUACCUUGCUAAGCUGAGGUAAAGCGAACUUCGUGACGCUGCAGAA